UAGGCAGUUGGCGGGGUAACGGCCCACCAAACCAACGAUGGAUAGGGGUUCUGAGAGGAAGGUCCCCCACAUUGGAACUGAGACACGGUCCAAACUCCUACGGGAGGCAGCAGUGAGGAAUAUUGGUCAAUGGACGAGAGUCUGAACCAGCCAAGUAGCGUGAAGGAUGACUGCCCUAUGGGUUGUAAACUUCUUUUAUACGGGAAUAAAGUGAGCCACGUGUGGCUUUUUGUAUGUACCGUAUGAAUAAGGAUCGGCUAACUCCGUGCCAGCAGCCGCGGUAAUACGGAGGAUCCGAGCGUUAUCCGGAUUUAUUGGGUUUAAAGGGAGCGUAGGCGGGUUGUUAAGUCAGUUGUGAAAGUUUGCGGCUCAACCGUAAAAUUGCAGUUGAUACUGGCGACCUUGAGUGUAACAGAGGUAGGCGGAAUUCGUGGUGUAGCGGUGAAAUGCUUAGAUAUCACGAAGAACUCCGAUUGCGAAGGCAGCUUACUGGAUUGUAACUGACGCUGAUGCUCGAAAGUGUGGGUAUCAAACAGGAUUAGAUACCCUGGUAGUCCACACAGUAAACGAUGAAUACUCGCUGUUGGCGAUAUACAGUC
This 599-nucleotide ribosomal RNA is filed under the name uncultured bacterium. RNAcentral describes it as "bacterial SSU rRNA". It matches the Rfam family "Bacterial small subunit ribosomal RNA", at positions 242 to 838 of the family's 1533-position model. The record is from RNAcentral.